RNAcentral lists this ribosomal RNA (430 nucleotides) under uncultured Alphaproteobacteria bacterium. RNAcentral describes it as "bacterial SSU rRNA". It matches the Rfam family "Bacterial small subunit ribosomal RNA", at positions 29 to 504 of the family's 1533-position model. Lineage: Bacteria; Pseudomonadati; Pseudomonadota; Alphaproteobacteria. The record is from RNAcentral.
AACGAACGCUGGCGGCAGGCUUAACACAUGCAAGUCGAACGCCCUCUUCGGAGGGAGUGGCAGACGGGUGAGUAACACGUGGGAACCUACCUAGGGGUACGGAAUAACUCGGGGAAACUCGUGCUAAUACCGUAUACGACCUUCGGGUGAAAGAUUUAUCGCCCCUAGAUGGGCCCGCGCUGGAUUAGCUAGUUGGUGGGGUAAAGGCUCACCAAGGCGACGAUCCAUAGCUGGUCUGAGAGGAUGAUCAGCCACACUGGGACUGAGACACGGCCCAGACUCCUACGGGAGGCAGCAGUGGGGAAUCUUGGACAAUGGGCGCAAGCCUGAUCCAGCCAUGCCGCGUGAGUGAUGAAGGCCUUAGGGUUGUAAAGCUCUUUCGCCAGGGAAGAUAAUGACUGUACCUGGAUAAGAAGCCCCGGCUAACUCC